This 253-nucleotide ribosomal RNA is filed under the name uncultured bacterium. RNAcentral describes it as "partial 16S ribosomal RNA". It matches the Rfam family "Bacterial small subunit ribosomal RNA", at positions 524 to 776 of the family's 1533-position model. The record is from RNAcentral.
UACGAAGGGGGCUAGCGUUGUUCGGAAUCACUGGGCGUAAAGCGUACGUAGGCGGACCGUUAAGUCGGGGGUGAAAUCCCAGGGCUCAACCCUGGAACUGCCUCCGAUACUGGCGAUCUGGAGUCCGGGAGAGGUGAGUGGAACUCCUAGUGUAGAGGUGAAAUUCGUAGAUAUUAGGAAGAACACCAGUGGCGAAGGCGGCUCACUGGCCCGGUACUGACGCUGAGGUACGAAAGCGUGGGGAGCAAACAGG